RNAcentral lists this ribosomal RNA (506 nucleotides) under Chloroflexi bacterium enrichment culture clone 206MTBE. RNAcentral's name for it is "bacterial SSU rRNA". It matches the Rfam family "Bacterial small subunit ribosomal RNA", at positions 8 to 526 of the family's 1533-position model. The record is from RNAcentral. Lineage: Bacteria; Bacillati; Chloroflexota.
AGAGUUUGAUCCUGGCUCAGAAUGAACGUUGGCGGUGCGCCUUAUGCAUGCAAGUCGAACGGUCGAGCACGUAACUUGUUAUGUGCUCGAUAGUGGCGAACGGCUGAGUAACACGUAAGUAACCUGCCUCGGAGUGGGAAAUAACCUGCCGAAAGGCAAGCUGAUGUCCCAUGUGGUAACGAAGCAAAUGCUUUGUUAUUAAAGCCUUAGGGUGCUCCAAGAGGGGCUUGCGCCUGAUUAGCUAGUUGGUAGGGUAAUGGCCUACCAAGGCGAUGAUCGGUAGCUGGUCUGAGAGGAUGGUCAGCCAGAUGGGGACUGGGAUACGGCCCCAACUCCUACGGGAGGCAGCAGCAAGGAAUCUUGGGCAAUGAGCGAAAGCUUGACCCAGCGACACCGCGUGAGGGAAGAAGGCCUUCGGGUUGUAAACCUCUUUUCUUGGGGAAGAAUUCUGACGGUACCCAAGGAAUAAGCCUCGGCCAACUACGUGCCAGCCGCCGCGGUAAUAC